This 67-nucleotide transfer RNA is filed under the name Cyema atrum (bobtail snipe eel). RNAcentral describes it as "tRNA-Thr". It matches the Rfam family "tRNA". Rfam says of the family: Transfer RNA (tRNA) molecules are approximately 80 nucleotides in length. Their secondary structure includes four short double-helical elements and three loops (D, anti-codon, and T loops). Lineage: Eukaryota; Metazoa; Chordata; Actinopteri; Anguilliformes; Cyematidae. The record is from RNAcentral.
GCCCCAGUAGCUUAACACUAAAAGCAUUGGCCUUGUAAACCAAAGAUUGAAGAUUAAAAUUCUUCCU